RNAcentral lists this long non-coding RNA (360 nucleotides) under Linum usitatissimum (flax). Its description in RNAcentral is "long non-coding RNA (LUSI_LNC001508)". The record is from RNAcentral. Lineage: Eukaryota; Viridiplantae; Streptophyta; Magnoliopsida; Malpighiales; Linaceae.
GUCGUUGUCUCAGGGUAUGCUCUGCAGUGCCAACCCAGGAGUUUGAUAAAAUCUCCCAUUCUUUUAAUUUUGUUAUCUGUAAGCAACUUUUUUUGACUCUCUAUUCACUUCAUAUUUUUCAAUGCUGAUCUAAAAGCACUUCAAUUUGAUGUCUCUGUUUAUAAUGAAGUUAUUGCAAUUGAUUGAUGAAUGUCAAUUGAGGAUUAAGGGUUGCAAUUUUUUUUCUCAAUAAUGAGAAGGCAAGUAUUAAGUUUGCUUUCGUGACUAGUUGUGUAUUUGUUAUAAAGUGAGGAAGAUUAGAGAAUGGUCUCUGAGGACCGUUACUUGUGGGAAUACUGUGAGUAUCGAUCAAUGUCUGCC